UGGGGAAUAUUGGACAAUGGGCGAAAGCCUGAUCCAGCCAUGCCGCGUGUGUGAAGAAGGCCUUUUGGUUGUAAAGCACUUUAAGCGAGGAGAAGGCUACCGAGAUUAAUACUCUUGGAUAGUGGACGUUACUCGCAGAAUAAGCACCGGCUAACUCUGUGCCAGCAGCCGCGGUAAUACAGAGGGUGCGAGCGUUAAUCGGAUUUACUGGGCGUAAAGCGUGCGUAGGCGGCUUUUUAAGUCGGAUGUGAAAUCCCUGAGCUUAACUUAGGAAUUGCAUUCGAUACUGGGAAGCUAGAGUAUGGGAGAGGAUGGUAGAAUUCCAGGUGUAGCGGUGAAAUGCGUAGAGAUCUGGAGGAAUACCGAUGGCGAAGGCAGCCAUCUGGCCUAAUACUGACGCUGAGGUACGAAAGCAUGGGGAGCAAACAGGAUUAGAUACCCUGGUAGUCCAUGCCGUAAACGAUGUCUACUAGCCGUUGGGGCCUUUGAGGCUUUAGUGGCGCAGCUAACGCGAUAAGUAGACCGCCUGGGGAGUACGGUCGCAAGACUAAAACUCAAAUGAAUUGACGGGGUCAUAGCUGUUUCCUG
Molecule: ribosomal RNA, 588 nt
Filed under: uncultured bacterium
Lineage: Bacteria
Description: partial 16S ribosomal RNA
Rfam family: Bacterial small subunit ribosomal RNA
Source: RNAcentral